CUUGGUAACGAGCGGGUUAUUUCCGCCUCUCCCUUCACGUCCUCCUCGCCUCGUGGUAAAGUAGCGCACCUCUCCCUCCCUGCCUCCCUUACCUGCCCUCCAGCUGACAAAGAACGCUCCGCAAGGCCAGGGUCAUGGGCAGGAGUCGGGAGGCGACGGCUGGUCGGGUGUCGUCAGAGGAUCGGCUCUGAAAAUGUCGCCGUCCAUCGCCUCGCUUCAGAUCCAUCCCAUGAUAACAUCAACACCUCGCAUCCGUUUCCUCCACGCGUCCUUGGCCUCUCCUUCCCUCAGACAGUCACAGAGCACAGAAACACGCACACCCAGGCGGUCACCUCAGCCCCUCCAGCCCUGCACGGGACCCUCACGCCGGGCCCGCCGCUGACGCCGCCGCGGUAAGGCACGACCCGGCAAAAAAACGGCUUCGUGUGAAUCUUGCUGCUCUUGGUCCUGAUCAAUUUUACGAAUGUCUCGCUACACCACAAUUCUCAUCCUCCGCCCUCCCUCCUCCCUCCCUUCCUCCUUCCCUUCCCAUCCUCUACCAUCUCCCUCCCUCCGUCCGUCUCCACCC
Molecule: long non-coding RNA, 568 nt
Organism: Portunus trituberculatus (swimming crab)
Lineage: Eukaryota; Metazoa; Arthropoda; Malacostraca; Decapoda; Portunidae
Exons: 3
Source: RefSeq, a predicted model, not a curated record